This 497-nucleotide long non-coding RNA is filed under the name Vigna radiata. RNAcentral describes it as "long non-coding RNA (VRAD_LNC003586)". The record is from RNAcentral. Lineage: Eukaryota; Viridiplantae; Streptophyta; Magnoliopsida; Fabales; Fabaceae.
AUAUGCUCCAUGAAUGAUAAUUUGUAGUAUUGAAAACAGGUGAGACAAGAGAUAUGGCAACAUUCUCAUUGGGGUGAAGGUAAAGAUGCAAAUGUGUAUAAUUUUGAAUGGGGGAAAAUGUAUCAGCGUUAGCCAUUGAAGAAAAAGAAAGGUAGGACAACGAGAACAAGAAUGCAGAAACAAGAACAGGGGUGCAGAAAUCAGAGAGCAGUAGAAAUUUAUACCAUCAUAGAUUUACAAUGCAGCAAAGAAAGAGAAAAAGGAAAAAACUUUAUUGAUUAAGUCUAAAGAGGUACAAACGAGGAAAUAUAUAGGGAGGAGACAGUACAGAAAAGACAGGACAAACAAUAAACCGAGCAGUCCAUGAAAGAAAGACCAAACAAUAUGUUGUGUCUUCACAAGACCAAACGGUCAAGUGACUAGUGUACUAAGUCAACAUAGCCAAGUGGUUGAGGUUAGUGAAACCGAACGGUGUAGAGAAGCAGCACGAGACUGAA